This 253-nucleotide ribosomal RNA is filed under the name uncultured bacterium. Its description in RNAcentral is "partial 16S ribosomal RNA". It matches the Rfam family "Bacterial small subunit ribosomal RNA", at positions 524 to 776 of the family's 1533-position model. The record is from RNAcentral.
UACGAAGGGGGCUAGCGUUGUUCGGAUUUACUGGGCGUAAAGCGCACGUAGGCGGUUUGUUAAGUCGGGGGUGAAAUCCUGGAGCUCAACUCCAGAACUGCCUUCGAUACUGGCGAUCUUGAGUCCGGAAGAGGUGAGUGGAACUCCUGGUGUAGAGGUGGAAUUCGUAGAUAUUAGGAAGAACACCAGUGGCGAAGGCGGCUCACUGGUCCGGUACUGACGCUGAGGUGCGAAAGCGUGGGGAGCAAACAGG